GAUGAACGCUGGCGGCGUGCCUAAUACAUGCAAGUCGAGCGAACAGACGAGGAGCUUGCUCCUCUGACGUUAGCGGCGGACGGGUGAGUAACACGUGGAUAACCUACCUAUAAGACUGGGAUAACUUCGGGAAACCGGAGCUAAUACCGGAUAAUAUAUUGAACCGCAUGGUUCAAUAGUGGAAGACGGUUUUGCUGUCACUUAUAGAUGGAUCCGCGCCGCAUUAGCUAGUUGGUAAGGUAACGGCUUACCAAGGCAACGAUGCGUAGCCGACCUGAGAGGGUGAUCGGCCACACUGGAACUGAGACACGGUCCAGACUCCUACGGGAGGCAGCAGUAGGGAAUCUUCCGCAAUGGGCGAAAGCCUGACGGAGCAACGCCGCGUGAGUGAUGAAGGUCUUCGGAUCGUAAAACGCUGUUAUUAGGGAAGAACAAAUGUGUAAGUAACUAUGCACGUCUUGACGGUACCUAAUCAGAAAGCCACGGCUAACUACGU
Molecule: ribosomal RNA, 496 nt
Filed under: uncultured bacterium
Lineage: Bacteria
Description: partial 16S ribosomal RNA
Rfam family: Bacterial small subunit ribosomal RNA
Source: RNAcentral